GAUGAACGCUGGCGGCGUGCUUAACACAUGCAAGUCGAACGGAAAGGCCAGUGCCUGCACUGGUACUCGAGUGGCGAACGGGUGAGUAACACGUGGGUGAUCUGCCCUGCACUUCGGGAUAAGCCUGGGAAACUGGGUCUAAUACCGGAUAGGACAAUGGUUUGGAUGCCGUUGUGGAAAGUUUUUUCGGUGUGGGAUGAGCUCGCGGCCUAUCAGCUUGUUGGUGGGGUAAUGGCCUACCAAGGCGUCGACGGGUAGCCGGCCUGAGAGGGUGUACGGCCACAUUGGGACUGAGAUACGGCCCAGACUCCUACGGGAGGCAGCAGUGGGGAAUAUUGCACAAUGGGCGCAAGCCUGAUGCAGCGACGCCGCGUGGGGGAUGACGGCCUUCGGGUUGUAAACUCCUUUCGCUAGGGACGAAGCGUAUUUGUGACGGUACCUGGAGAAGAAGCACCGGCUAACUACGUG
Molecule: ribosomal RNA, 468 nt
Filed under: uncultured bacterium
Lineage: Bacteria
Description: partial 16S ribosomal RNA
Rfam family: Bacterial small subunit ribosomal RNA
Source: RNAcentral